AGAAACACUUGGUUCCUUCCAGCAUCUGUAUUUUCUUAAGAGUGGGCUCCAUAUUUUGUUGCUUUGUGAUGGUUCUGACUAAUUAUCUCUAAAUUGCAGGACUGUAAAGAUAAUUAGCAUGAAAUGUAUUUAGUUAAUGUGACCUCAGUCUGAACUUUGGACACUUUCUCUUCUCCUUCAUCCGUCCAUUCACUACAAGAAACAAGAACCUCUGAGCAGCAACCUACACACUGAAAAUAGAAAGUUCUGGUGAAGUUUGGUUCUUUUGAUCUAGUUUCCAGCCGCUCCAGGAAGUUCGUCUGUGGUCAGUGUGGUCGGUCUUAUCGCCACGCCAGCUCCCUGCUCAACCACAAGAACAGCCACAAGACCGGAACCUACUUCUGCACCUCCUGCCAGAAGGAGUUUCCUAAUCUGAUGUCUUUCAAGAACCAUCGGCGCAUCCACACCGAGCCCAAGCGCUACCAGUGCCCCGACUGUGGGAAGUCCUUCCGGGUGUCAACGGCGCUCAUCUGCCACCGUCGCAUCCACACCAAGGAGAAGCCGUUCUCCUGCCAGCAGUGCGACAAGCACUUCUCCUCCAAGUCCAACCUGAGGCACCACAUGAAAGUUCACUGGAGGAGUCCAACGUCGUCCAGAGGCUCCGCCUUCCUCAGCGUCCCAUCCAGACCUUUCUGAAGCAGUGCUCACUGUGACCUCAGUGUGGACGAACACAACUAACCCAUCCCUGAACGCCUCACUGUGAAGUUUAACCACAGCUGAGGCCUUCAGACUGAAACCUGCUGCAGCAGUUUAGUGAAAUUAAAUCCACUUAACAGACUGGAUCCAGCUGUCAGCUCUGAAAUAUGCAGGCAAACUCCUUAAUUUAACAUUUUCAACCAGCUUCUCCUGCAAAAUCUGACUUCAAAUUCAAUACGAACAUGUAAAUAUUUCUGUCUAACACAACACAACCUGAAUUUCAGCAUUUGAAAUCCAAAUCAGGUUUAAGUUUCUUUGAUUUGAAGAAUUUGGAUCGACGUCAGACGUUCAGGUUUGACCUGGUUAGCUUAGCUUAGCUUAGCCUGGCUCUGUCUGCAGCUCACUGAUUAGCAUGUUGUAGCUCGUUUGUACAGAAACCAAAGUGUGAGAAGAGCCAGAAUGUGCUAAAUUUUUAUGUAUCUUUAACUCAGUAUGUUAAAGAAUCAAACAUCUUAAUAUUAGUAAUGGUUUAAAAUGUCAACAGCGUUUAAUUUCACUUCAGCUCUUCAGUUUAUUAUCAGGUUGACGUCUUUUACGACCACAUCGCUCAAACCUGAGGCGAUGUUUUAUCCUCUGAACUUCUGAACAAACUGAAGCUCUUCUGUUACUCAAAGUGAAACUUUAUUCCAGUUACUGAUCAGAGUUACUCAGCUUCGUUUUCUUCUCUGAUGACAUUUUAAAAAAUUCAGUUUGUGUUUGCUUCACCUCCACGGAUGGACUGUUAACAAUAUGUUGGUGAACAGUGUUGGCCUGGUGGUUUACAGACUUCUGGACAGCUGGAUGAUGGGUCUUGUAUAAUUUUCUUUAGCUCUGAGUGUUUUUCUACUGCGGAGGACAACAACUGGAUCAUGUUCCUCCGUCUGUUGGCUCAGAUCUGCUUCUGGGAGUUUCUAUGUCUGCAGAUACUAAAUCCUGCUGUUCUUUACCUGUUGAAAUCUGAGGGAGAGUCAAAGUCAAAUCUGGAUUAUGGAAGUGCAUCAAUACAUAAGUGUCCUCUGAUGUCACCACCGUUAAUAUUCAACCGAAACACGUCAUUCCAUGAAAAAUCAAUCUCACAUCCAUCUGGUUCUAGUGAUCUUUUUUUUUUUCCAGGGUGUUCCAGGCCCUUGAAAUACAUAGAGGUGGGUCCAGAUUUAUCACUUUUUAAUGGACUUUUUCCAUCAUUUCUGAGCCUCAGUACAGCAGAUGGAUUCAUGACAUUUUAGGAUGGAAAACACAUCUAAGUUCUGGUAAAAACUGAAACCAGAUCUGUUUUAUAUCCAUCCAGGUGUCACAGUCUAAACAUUGAAUCUGGUUUCUGUCCAUUUUCUCUAUAACCAACUUUGAGCAUCACUUAGUUUGGACAAUAAAACUGAAUCAGUUUAAUGUUUAUGACAUAGAGUCAUAGAAACAAUCGCUGGUACUCUUGUUCGUGGUCAUUUUAUAUACAGUUGUAGUUAUUUUGUGUUUCUUCUGACCAGGACUACCACAGUGAAUGCAUAGUUUUUAGUUAAACUUUCUAGGCUCUUAUCAGCGGGUGUAGUAGAUGGUUGGUCAGAACAAGUUCUACACAGCAAAAGCAUCAUUUUACUCUCAAAAUAGACAUGAUUCACUCUGUGGGAAUUUUUUUUUCCUAUAUAUGCACACACUAACUAACUGUAUUGGUCAAAUGAUGGAAAAAGUCCAUUAAAAAGUGAUGAAUAUGGCCUUACCUGUAAGUAGGUGUAAGUAGUUCAGGGACCUGGAAACCUGGAAAUAUUCAUCAUAUGAAGGUAAAACUCCAUGUCAGACCAUCAGUUCUCCACUUAAUUCAAUUUUUAUUUUGUGACUUUAGUCUCGGUUUCACUCACUGUUUAAUUUUGUUUAGUUUAAUUGUCACUGCAUCAAACUUGUUACCAGAAAAGUGUAAUCAGUGACAGCAGAGAUCGUUUGGACUCCUGGCGUCUGGUUCUGACAUUCUCUGGUCUUUUGUAGAUGAUAAAUCUUCUCUGCAUGAUGAAAACUGACAAUGAAGAUCCUCGUUUUGGUCAGAGGUGGAGAUAAAUUUGUUCUCCUGGAUCAUCUGAAAGCUUCGUGCAGUUUAAAGAUGUGAACCAACUGAAGACAAACCUGCUGGUUCACACAGAUGUCCGUAUCUUCUGACUCUGUUUCUGUUGUCACAUGUAGUUAGAGGGCUGAUGAUCAGUAGAACAUUAGAAGUGAUGAUUGUUCCUCUGCUGACCUCAUGUUUGGUCGAAGGUGAUGCGUCAGGGCGGGUUGUGGCGGCCAUUUUGGAUCCCUCCCUCAAUCUAAAUUUCUGCAUUCACUAAAUAACAUAAAUUCAUAGACGUGUUCUCAUAUUUACAGCUGUUUUACUUUGUUGUAAUUUCAUGACUGACAAACAAAUCUCGCGAAAGAUCAAAUUUAAAAGGAAACAGCUCUCACUAUGAGAAAAUAAGUUAUGAGAAGAAGAAUCGUGUUGUUCUCAUAAUUUUUUUUUAUAAUUCUCAGAUGUUUUCUCAGAAUUUUACAAUUCAGAGCUUUAAAACAGGACAAACUGAGGAGGUUCUGAGAAAUUCUUCUUCCAGGUCUGAGAUACAGAAUUGAUCAUUAUUACAAAGAAAACAAGAAAACUCUCAUAUUAAAUCCAUAUUUGGGAACUAGGAAAUUAGUUUUGCGCAAGAAUGAGAAAGCUCAUGUAAUUAAGUCAUAACUUUGAGAAAAUCUGUUAAAAGAUCUGUGAAAUUAUCAUGAGAUUAUCUGAUUUCAACAAGAUAUUUUCUCAUAAUUACCUCAAGUUUACUAUUUUCAUGUUUUCUCUUCUUGAUGAGAAUUUCAAUUGCAUUUUCCUGAAAUCUGAAUCAUAUAAUGAAACACUAAGCAUGAUAAUUAUGAUAAAACAUCAUAAUACUGUAUUUAUUCAUUACAACAAAUUUUCAUAAUUUUCAUCACAUAAGAAAAAUCAGAAUACAAAACUCUUGUCUAGUAAUUAUGAAAGUGAUCUCAUGGCUAUUUUCUGAUGAUUCUCUGAUUCUCUGAUGUUUUCCCUAAAUUGUAGAUUGAAACUUUUAAGGACAAGAAACUGAAGAAGUUUUAAAGAUGAGAAAACUUGAGAUUUGGUCAUUAUUACGAUCAAACAGGAAAACUCUCACAAAAAAUCCAGAUCAAGUAUUUAAGACCUUUUUUUUCCAGCGUUAUGAGAGAUGCUUUGUAAUCCUGAAAUGAAGUCAGAGCUUCUCUGAUAAUUAUGAGAUUAUUUGUUUGAAUAUUUGUCUCAAAAUUAUGUGAAUUAUGGGAAAGCAAAAACUGCAUAAUGAUGCUAAUAUUUUCUAUUAAGUCACAUUUUAGUAAAAACUGGAGAACUGAGAAAACUUUCUUAAACUGUAUUUAUUAUGAUAGUUUCUCCUAAAUUUUAUCAUGAGAAAAUUAGAAUUAUAAUAAGUAUAUAUCCUCAUAUAAUCAUGAGUUCUGCGUUAAGACAGAAUAUCAAGAGUAUCGUCAGUUAAAAUGAAAUAUUCUGAGAAAAAACUCAGAUUUCUGUCCUCAAAGUUGUAAGUUUAUUAUGUAAAUACAUUUAACAGAUGUUAGCUACACAUCUGUUGUAUUGAUUCAUCUCAAUUAUUUAACCAGCAAUUAGUUUUUCUGUAAAUCUGUGACUUUAAUCUCAGAGACUUUCUGAGAGAAAACUUUAAUAUUCACUAAUGCUUUGUUUAGAUUAAUACUCUAAUUUCUGAAAAAGUCACAGUGAAAAGGAAACGCCUUUAUGUGUGUUUAGUGACUGAAUUUCACUUCUGUACAUUCUUGACUUCAACAUCGUUGAUGCCUAAGUAGCCUUCAUUUGAACUAAAAAAAAGUUUAAAAUGAAAAAAGGUGGAAUUAGUUCUGAUUUAUCUGUCUCAAUAUGCUCACAAUGAUCUGUUUUUUCAAUCUGGGGAUUCAAAAUGGCGCAGCAGAGAGUCUUGGUGCUGUUUGAUGUAUUGUUGCUGUUCGUCUGUGACAGUUUUAAUAUACAAACUCCUUUAUACUCACCUGAUAGUAAAAGUGCAGAUAAAUGCCUUGAAAUGUGUCUUUUUUAUUUCUAGGUUCUAAUCGAAACAUUAAAAGUGUUUACUUCUUGGUGUUUGACACAAACUAUCAUUAUGUGGAUUUUUUUCAGCA
Amphiprion ocellaris (clown anemonefish) is the source of this 4851-nucleotide long non-coding RNA. NCBI's taxonomy places the organism in Eukaryota, Metazoa, Chordata, Actinopteri, Pomacentridae. The record is from Ensembl.